UCAGUUCAGACUGCAGGCUGCAACUCGCCUGCACGAAGUCGGAAUUGCUAGUAAUCGUAGGUCAGCAUACUACGGUGAAUACGUUCCCGGGCCUUGUACACACCGCCCGUCACGCCAUGAGAGUCGGGAACACCCGAAGCCCGUAGCCUAACUUGCAAGAGAGGGCGCGGUCGAAGGUGGGUUCGAUAAUUGGGGUGAAGUCGUAACAAGGUAUC
This 215-nucleotide ribosomal RNA is filed under the name uncultured bacterium. Its description in RNAcentral is "partial 16S ribosomal RNA". It matches the Rfam family "Bacterial small subunit ribosomal RNA", at positions 1288 to 1500 of the family's 1533-position model. The record is from RNAcentral.